RNAcentral lists this ribosomal RNA (793 nucleotides) under Parahaemophilus parainfluenzae. Its description in RNAcentral is "Haemophilus parainfluenzae bacterial SSU rRNA". It matches the Rfam family "Bacterial small subunit ribosomal RNA", at positions 28 to 806 of the family's 1533-position model. The record is from RNAcentral. Lineage: Bacteria; Pseudomonadati; Pseudomonadota; Gammaproteobacteria; Pasteurellales; Pasteurellaceae.
AUUGAACGCUGGCGGCAGGCUUAACACAUGCAAGUCGAACGGUAACAUAAAGAAGCUUGCUUCUUUGAUGACGAGUGGCGGACGGGUGAGUAAUGCUUGGGAAUCUAGCUUAUGGAGGGGGAUAACUACGGGAAACUGUAGCUAAUACCGCGUAGAAUCGGGAGAUGAAAGUGUGGGACCUUCGGGCCACAUGCCAUAGGAUGAGCCCAAGUGGGAUUAGGUAGUUGGUGAGGUAAAGGCUCACCAAGCCGACGAUCUCUAGCUGGUCUGAGAGGAUGACCAGCCACACUGGGACUGAGACACGGCCCAGACUCCUACGGGAGGCAGCAGUGGGGAAUAUUGCGCAAUGGGGGCAACCCUGACGCAGCCAUGCCGCGUGAAUGAAGAAGGCCUUCGGGUUGUAAAGUUCUUUCGGUAGCGAGGAAGGCAUUUAGUUUAAUAAACUGGAUGAUUGACGUUAACUACAGAAGAAGCACCGGCUAACUCCGUGCCAGCAGCCGCGGUAAUACGGAGGGUGCGAGCGUUAAUCGGAAUAACUGGGCGUAAAGGGCACGCAGGCGGUGACUUAAGUGAGGUGUGAAAAGCCCCGGGGCUUAACCUGGGAAAUUGCAUUUCAUACUGGGUCGCUAGAGUACUUUAGGGAGGGGUAGAAUUCCACGUGUAGCGGUGAAGUGCGUAGAGAUGUGUAGGAAUACCCAAAGCUAGGCCUCUCCCUUGGUAAUGUACUAACCUUCACGUGCAAAACUCGGCGGAGCAAACAAGGAUAAGUUCCCUGGGAGGCUCCAGGGGGAUA